This 1521-nucleotide ribosomal RNA is filed under the name uncultured Bacteroides sp. RNAcentral describes it as "Bacterial small subunit ribosomal RNA". It matches the Rfam family "Bacterial small subunit ribosomal RNA". Lineage: Bacteria; Pseudomonadati; Bacteroidota; Bacteroidia; Bacteroidales; Bacteroidaceae. The record is from RNAcentral.
AUGAAGAGUUUGAUCCUGGCUCAGGAUGAACGCUAGCUACAGGCUUAACACAUGCAAGUCGAGGGGCAGCAUAUUUAUAGCAAUAUAAAUGAUGGCGACCGGCGCACGGGUGAGUAACACGUAUCCAACCUCCCUUUUACUCGGGGAUAGCCUUUCGAAAGAAAGAUUAAUACCCGAUAGUAUAUGGUUUUCUCAUGAAGACUUUAUUAAAGAAUUUCGGUAAAAGAUGGGGAUGCGUUCCAUUAGGCAGUUGGCGGGGUAACGGCCCACCAAACCUACGAUGGAUAGGGGUUCUGAGAGGAAGGUCCCCCACAUUGGAACUGAGACACGGUCCAAACUCCUACGGGAGGCAGCAGUGAGGAAUAUUGGUCAAUGGGCGAGAGCCUGAACCAGCCAAGUAGCGUGAAGGAUGACUGCCCUAUGGGUUGUAAACUUCUUUUAUAAGGGAAUAAAGUGGAGUAUGUAUACUCCUUUGUAUGUACCUUACGAAUAAGGAUCGGCUAACUCCGUGCCAGCAGCCGCGGUAAUACGGAGGAUCCGAGCGUUAUCCGGAUUUAUUGGGUUUAAAGGGAGCGUAGGCGGAUGUUUAAGUCAGUUGUGAAAGUUUAAGGCUCAACCUUGAAAUUGCAGUUGAUACUGGAUAUCUUGAGUACAUUGAAUGUGGGCGGAAUUCGUGGUGUAGCGGUGAAAUGCUUAGAUAUCACGAAGAACUCCAAUUGCGAAGGCAGCUCACAGUAAUGUAACUGACGCUGAUGCUCGAAAGUGUGGGUAUCAAACAGGAUUAGAUACCCUGGUAGUCCACACAGUAAACGAUGAAUACUCGCUGUUUGCGAUAUACAGUAAGCGGCCAAGCGAAAGCGUUAAGUAUUCCACCUGGGGAGUACGCCGGCAACGGUGAAACUCAAAGGAAUUGACGGGGGCCCGCACAAGCGGAGGAACAUGUGGUUUAAUUCGAUGAUACGCGAGGAACCUUACCCGGGCUUGAAUUGCACUCGAAUAUGGUUGAAAGAUCAUAGCCGCAAGGCGAGUGUGAAGGUGCUGCAUGGUUGUCGUCAGCUCGUGCCGUGAGGUGUCGGCUUAAGUGCCAUAACGAGCGCAACCCUUAUUUCCAGUUACCAUCGGGUGAUGCCGGGGACUCUGGAAAGACUGCCGUCGUAAGAUGUGAGGAAGGUGGGGAUGACGUCAAAUCAGCACGGCCCUUACGUCCGGGGCUACACACGUGUUACAAUGGGUGGUACAGAAGGCAGCUACACGGCAACGUGAUGCUAAUCCCAAAAACCACUCUCAGUUCGGAUUGGAGUCUGCAACCCGACUCCAUGAAGCUGGAUUCGCUAGUAAUCGCGCAUCAGCCACGGCGCGGUGAAUACGUUCCCGGGCCUUGUACACACCGCCCGUCAAGCCAUGAAAGCCGGGGGUACCUGAAGUGCGUAACCGUAAGGAGCGCCCUAGGGUAAAACUGGUAAUUGGGGCUAAGUCGUAACAAGGUAGCCGUACCGGAAGGUGCGGCUGGAACACCUCCUU